UUUUUUUUUGAGUUCAGUGAGAGACCUUGACUCAAAAAAAAAAAAAAAAAAAAAAAAAAAAGGUAAAUAUUGAACACAGGUUGUCAGGCCUAGGGGCAACUUCCCUUACUUACUGGGUCAUCUUGACAGACAGGUGCUUUGCAAUAAAAAAAUAAACAAAAAUUUAAAAUUUAAAUAAACUCUGUUUUUGAAUUUCCUAGUAUUUAUAAAAUGUGAUGUUAUAGAGUAUCCUCUUUUUUGUUUUCUGUUGUGGUGGAGAUUAACCUGAGGGAUUGGCAUGCCUAGGCAGUGCCUAUACCUUGGAACUAGCCCACCCUUGUCCUUUCAAGGUGAAAAUUGCUUAGAAAAUAAUCAGUUAUAAAUAAUUCCAAUGAGUAGUUAUUGUAACAGUCAUAAUUAGUGUAAUGCGGAUGCUUAUUACAGAAUUGGGAUUUGAGAUAGGAAGCUCAGAAUUACAGACUCUGCCUUCGUGUGGAGGAGUUAUCUAUGCACUCUAAAUAAUUGUACUGAAUUAUGUAAGCCAUACCUUCUAGAUAAGUAUAGCUGAGUUGUGUACACUUCCCACUGGUGACUCACUGAGGCUGAGGUAUCCUCCUGCUUAGAUGUGACUGUGAACUGCAGUUGUUUCCUAGUUUCCCCUUCCCAUCAGUGCCGCUUUUCUUCUGUAUUCUGACGUCAGUAGGUGCCGUGUGUUUUCCUUAGAAUUAAUGACUCAAUAAGUUGUUCCCACGGAAAGCUUUUAAAAGAUGUUCUUCCAUUUGAAAGUACAUAGUCUUAAUCAUCUUACCAUACAGUUUUCUGCUUCCUAUGUGUUCCCUAAUUGUGAGAGCAGUUAGAUACAACAGUAGUCAAGGAACUUGCAAGUGUAUUAAAAGUGGCGGUUUUUCCCCUUUUGGCUUGAGCUUUUUUAUACAGAGUCAAGGAUUUAACCUGGUGGUGGAGUGCUUGCUGAACAUGUAUGGGCCCCAAGUUGGAGGGGAGUGGGAAAGAAGAAAGUUUAACAUGCAAAUAAUAGUUUGAAAAUUCAAGUGUAUUUGUUUAUUUCAAAUGAACAAAUUAGAAUUAAGCCGGAUGUUGUGGUGCACUCCUUUAGUCCUAGCACUCUGGAGGCAGAAGCAGGAGGAUCUCUGAGUUCGAGGCCAGCUUGGUCUAUAGAGUGAGUUCUAAGACAGCCAGGGCUACACAGAGAAACCCUGUCAAACAAACAAGUAAAACAAAAGCCAAACAAACAAACAAAACCCAAAAAACCUGAUUACUUUUUUCCUUGGUCCAUUAGGCCAAUUCUUUUUUCUAGUUAUUUGCCAAAAGAAGUUUGGCCUUGGGUUGGAGAGGUGGUUCAGUGGUUAAGAGCACUGACGGUUCUUCUGAGGGGCCUGAGUUCAAAUCCCAGCAACCACAUGGUGGCUCACAAUCAUUCGUAAUGAGAUCUGACGCCCUCUUCUGGUGUGUCUAAAGACAGCUACAGUGUACUUAAAUAUGAUAAAUCUUUGGGCCGGAGCGAGUGGGGCCAGAGGGAGCAGAGGUCCUAAGUUCAAUUCCCAGCAACCACAUGAUGGCUCAUAACCAUCUGUACAGCCACAGUAUACCAUAUACAUAAAAUAAAUAAAUCUUUUAAAAAAAGAAAAGACUGGCCUUUUAUUUAAUUUAUUUUUAAUUUUUUUUUGUUUUUUGAGACAGGGUUUCUCUGUGUAGCUUUGGAAUGCACUCUCUAGACCAGGCUGUCCUUAAAGGCGUGGAAAUCCACCUGAGUCUGCCUCCUGGGUUCUGGGAUUAAAGCCCUGCACCAGCACUCCUUGUGAUUGGCUUUUUUUUUAAUCAGUUUUUACAUUUUUAGAAAAUUAUUGUAAAAUGUAUAUAAAAUGGUUUUUCAUCUCACAAAUUUCAUGUAUACAGUUUUGUCUUAGAGGUUCGUUUGGUUUUUGUUUUGUUUUAUUUUUUUCCUGUGAAGAGACACCAUGACCACAACAACUCCUACAAAGAAAAUAUUUAAUUGAAGCAUGCUUAUAGUUUCAAAAGGUUUAUCAUCAUGGAGGGAAGCAUGAUAACAUGCAGGCAGACAUGUUACUGGAGGAGCUGGGAGUUCUACAUCUGGAUUGCAAGCAGCAAGAGUACACUGUCCUACUGAGUGUGGCCUGAGCAUCUGAGACCUCAAAUCCUGCCCCAAAUGCCACACCGACUCUAAUGAGCCCAUAUCUCCUAACAGUGCCUCUCUGAAUGGUCCUAUGAGGGCCAUUUUCUUUGAAACCACCACACAGUUCCAUGCCAUUAAUUAAAUUCAUAGUGUGUGACCAUUACUGUUGUCUAUUUCUUAAUUUUUUUCACCAACCACCGUGGAAAGUCUUGUGUCCAGCAGAGUACCUUCUCAUUCUUCCUCAUGACCCCUGGUUGCCUCUCUAGCACUAUGAAUUUGCUUUGGAUAGAUAUUUUGAGUAAGUGUAACAUUUGUUGUCCAGUGUUUAGUUUGUGUAAGGGUAUUGUCAAGGUUUAACACACCACAUUUUGUCUAUUAAUCCAUUGGUGGACACUUAGAUUCUUUCUACUUUCUGCCUAUUAUUAAGCAUGGCUUUCUGAACAUUGGUACAUGCCAGUAUCUGUCUAGUCCUAUUUUUCAUUUUUUAAAAAGUGUAUACCUAGGAAAGGAAUAUGCUAAUAUGUACAUAUACAUCACACUUGGUGGAUGAAGCAGAGCUCCAACAACUUUACAUAUAUACAUACGUAUGCGUAUAUUUGGUGAAGGAAGCAAAUCUCCAAUAACUAAUUUUUCCUAACAGUUUAUAUAUCCUAGUAAAAUCUUCCAAGCAGUAUAAAAAUUCCAAUGUGGUUACAUUCUAUUUUUCUUCUAGUGAGUGAUUGUGAAAACCCACAUUCAUGGUUUAAGAAUUCAUGGUAAUUUAUUAUAGAUUAUCAGAGUGUAAGCAUCCAAGGUAAUUUUCUCAGCCAGUUUCUCUUACUGGCAGAUUGCAAUUUGUGGUUACAAAGAAAGGAUCAAUUAUUUUAUUUAUUUUAAAAAGUAAUCUUAUUUUUAAAACCUUAGAAGAAUC
This 3041-nucleotide long non-coding RNA is filed under the name Mus musculus (house mouse). RNAcentral's name for it is "long non-coding RNA chr1:156592840-156595881". Lineage: Eukaryota; Metazoa; Chordata; Mammalia; Rodentia; Muridae. The record is from RNAcentral.